GUAACCAUGAAGUAACGCAAACUAAAACAUCUAAACAAGAAAGAGGGAAAGCAACAGAAUGCACUUUGUCAAAAAUUUGGGACGUGUGUACUGAAAUCAAUCCAGCCCCCUUUAUCUAUUUAAACAUAGAUAAACUAGUGCCAAAAACAUCAAUUCAAUUCAAUUUCAUUUGUAUUGCACCAAAUCAUAAUGUACAUUAUCUCAAGACAGGGUAAGGUUAAGAUAUUACAUUAUUGUAGAGAGACUUUUUCAGAAAUUCCAUCAGAUUGUGUACUGCAUCUCACCAUAUAUAUCAGUAAAUAAUCCUAUGUCUUUUCUUUUAACAGAGAAAUCAGUGUAACCAUCACACAUCCAAACCUAACCUUCAGGAGGAUUCUUUACAAGGGCUGAAACAACACAAACACUUAACAUCUCAGUGGCGGCUGGUCAAUACGGGGCGCUGGGGCGCCGCCCCCUUCCAAUUAUGCAGAUGAGAAAGACUAUAUCAUAUUAAACAUAAAUUAAUUAAGCAAAAGUGUUUAUUAAGUCAAAAUUUUUCUUACUCAUCCUACUCCACACUGUAUCCAUCUAAUUAUUUUAAUCCGUUUUUAAACUUUAUUUAAAUUUUAUAUGAAUAUGUAUACUUCCACCAGUUGGCCCAAUGAGUGUGUUUAUAGCUGCUAAAACUUUUGGAGAGCAGGUGACCUGCAGCUGCGUUAUAUUUGGCCUAAUUGACACUCCUUUUAUCAGAAGCCAAUUGGAAUUGAUUUUAAGUUUUUCUUUUAAUGUGAUUGGAUGGUUUUCUACGGACUUCCAUAUUUGACGCUGUGACUCACUCCUGCUCGUUAGACCGGAGCUUUCAGAAGAUGUAAAGUUCAAGUGGACCUGCGGAGAAAGACAUUUCUAUUCUUUCUUUACAGAAACAUCCUUUUACACGGCGUACACUGGAAGAAAAUAAGAGGAUAAAAAAGCAUGGACCGGGCCACCCCAAUUUAAACAUUAAGGAGCAGGCAGGUGAUUGAGGACAGGCUUACACUCGGGGCUUCUCCCGUUCUUGUUAUCACAAACGGAGCUGGCUUGCUGGAUGCGGAUGUCUCCCCCUCCACAUCUGUCCUGGCUCUUUGUUGACUGGACAAAGACUUCUCACUCGCAGCUGGAAAUUGAGCAAAUCAUGACAUCAACAAGUAAAGUUGUUCAUCCAUUCAGCCACGGACAUUCAUCGCUCAGCCUGCCCUGCUCCAAUGCCAACCUUGGCCAAAUCCCCAGCUCCCACCUGCCCAGCUUCAUCACCUGUCCCGGACCCCCCUGCCUGAACCCUCAGCAAACCUCCUUUUGAACAUUUUUUAAAACUGUUUAAUCAAGCAUCUCCGAGUCCUGUAUUUGAGUCGAGAUUUGUUACAAAACCUAACAGAACAAUCUGCCCAUACAAUGGACUCAACAGACUCAGAUCCAAAAUACACCUUCCUGCAAAAGCCCAUAGCCAAUCUAGGAACACUCCUCAGAAAUUGGAUCACUUCAUGGCUGUUUGUCCCGUCUGGUCAAAAAACUGGGCUCGUUCAUAGCCCCAUCUAAACAACGCCUUCAGUGGUCACUGCCAUUCCUCCCCAGCCUGAACCUCCUGAUUUCUCAACAGUUGGGGUAGGAAUACCACAUACUGGAAGACGUAUUCAGCAAGGAGUUAGCGCUUUGGUAACAGGUACUCUGGCAUAUGACAGUCAAAAGGUAAGUUGAACCUGACUUCGAUUGAGGCAAAGGACCCCCACAGUCCCACUAUCAAAUGCUCAAACUGUUGGCUGAUAGCAGGAACGGGACA
This is a long non-coding RNA of Seriola aureovittata, 1792 nucleotides long. RefSeq lists it as uncharacterized. The transcript has 4 exons. Lineage: Eukaryota; Metazoa; Chordata; Actinopteri; Carangiformes; Carangidae. The record is from RefSeq and is a predicted model, not a curated record.